UAAAAUUAUACUGAACAACUAAACUAUAUUUGCAUUCAAAUUAGGACACAUCAUCGUCAAUAGAAAUUUUUGUCGGUAUAGAUAUAUAUCCAUUUUAUUGAUUUUUAGCCUUAACAGUAUAAUAUAUACACAGAGAUGAUUACUCCAUAUCAUAAUCUACAACGCUUGUUUUUUGAAAAAUGAUCUUUUUGUAUAUAAUCCAGGUACCGUUGCAAAUGGGGCGUUGUUGUUCAAUUCAAAAGUAUACGAAGACCAAGUAAAUGAACAAUAUUUAUCGGCUAAAAACGUAAAUAAAAAAGGAUUCACGAUAUAAAUUAAAAAAAAAAACAAUAACGAUAACGGAGUGAAGUUUAACGGCGAAUCUACCGACGGAACCGAGAAGAUGAGGCGGAGCCGUAUUAACAGAGCUUACCGGAGAAAACUAUUAUCACCGCUUAUUUACCGUAGACUGUUCCAAGUGAUCCAACAGAAAGGGAAUUUGCAAUCACGGACACCAUCUUCAGAACUUAUUUUUCUUAACUGUAUCCAUGAAUCUCUGCUUUGUAAGAUCGUUUCUUGAGAUAUACUCAAGAAAAUCAUUAAAGCUGAAAUCUCCAUAAGCAGCUGGUUUGUCUUCAUUCACAAGCUGAGGUGCUGGACUUAUCUUCUUGUUCAUUGGUAAGCUGUGUAGACUCGCGAAAGAGAGGCGGUUGACAUCUUUGUUCACUGUUACUCGAUGAACCACACUCCUGUAGAUGCCAUUGCUCAUCACUUCUACUUGAUCUCCAAGCUGCACAAUCAGAGCUCCUUCUAUGUACGGCACACAGAUCCAGUUGUUGUUUUUGUCUUUUAUCUGAAGCCCCUGGCUGCUUUGGAGUAAGAUGGUCAGUGAGCUAAAGUCAGAGUGUGGUGGCAUCCCCAAGGCUAUCCCGGGUUGUGGACACGCUGGGUAGCAGUUCACCGCCAUGACUUGUGACCCUUCUUCGAUUUCUUCCUGUAAGUAACUUUUCUCGAGGCCUAGACUUUCUGAGAUAGCUUCCAUUAAUUGCUUGUGUAACACAUGCGUUGCUUCUGAGUAUUUCCCCACUUUUUUCCUGAUAGUUAGAGGAUAGAUCACAUCAGUUCUGAGUCCUAGAUAGUAUUACAAGUUUUGAAACAUCUAUGGAGCAAUAGGAUAUUUCUACUGUUGUGACGGACCAGACUCUUUACUAUAGCCAAAUGUCCGUCACUAGAUGUCCAAUUCCUCGCUUAGUAUGAUAUUUAGGAGAAGCCUUCCCCCAAAAAAAAAUUUGUCAGGGCUUACUCCCAAAACAGACAAUAUCAUACUAAGCGAGGGGUUGGACAUCUGGUAAUGAAUCUAGUAGAGCAUCUGGUCCAAAAAUGGGCAUCUGGUCCGUCAUAUGUACCCAUAAAAUGUGAAUAAGUUUUGUUUGAUAUUUCAUAUAGUGAAGUUGGCCUAGAUAGGUUAACUUACUUGUAGCAUGGAGGGUUGGAUGGCCAGAGAUCAAUCCACUUUGAGGGAGGGUGUGAGUAAUGUUUAAUGAAGUCUCUCCAGUAAUGAACACUGUCUGUUGCAUGGUUGAUGCUGGUGCCAUAUCUUACUGGCGUAUGAACAUCAUCAGAAACCAGAAGCAUCUUCUCAUGGGAAGGUAAGUCAAAGAACCUUGUAGCUGCAUCAAGUGCAUCUCUCAUCACCGAUGAUGAUAUUCCAUGGUUUGUAACCUGUUGAGAAGAAAGUUUUUGAUCAGAGUUAUGUACUUGAAUAAAGAGUGAUACAAAUGAUACUAGUGUAGUGUGCUUUAAUGAAACAGAGCAGAGCCAGCAUACAUGACAUUAGCAUAAAGAAUAAAGAUAAGCAUGUCCACGUGGCUACUUACUUUUAUCCUCAA
Molecule: long non-coding RNA, 1868 nt
Organism: Brassica napus (rape)
Lineage: Eukaryota; Viridiplantae; Streptophyta; Magnoliopsida; Brassicales; Brassicaceae
Exons: 2
Source: RefSeq, a predicted model, not a curated record